Long non-coding RNA from Formica exsecta, 2444 nucleotides. RefSeq lists it as uncharacterized. The record is from RefSeq and is a predicted model, not a curated record. NCBI's taxonomy places the organism in Eukaryota, Metazoa, Arthropoda, Insecta, Hymenoptera, Formicidae. The transcript has 3 exons.
AAGUGGAGUACAGCAAAUAAAGAAUAAUGGUUCGGCGAAAGUGCUUCAUUUAAAUCGAUUAUUUAGGCUGAUGAUUUAUAAUGGUCACCAAUUACGCAAGCGCGUUACGUGUCGCUUGAUUAGAACCACAUGAUGCAAACGUUCAUGCAAUAGUCCGUUAAGAACUACAUGUGAAUAGUGAGCCCUCAAGAGCGCCCAUAAUAUAUAUAUAAGAAACAAUUGUUACAAAUAGUUGCAGUAUUUAAUCAAACAAGAAAUAUAGAAAAUAUAUAUGAUCUGGUAAAACUUGGCGCAUAAUGAUAAAAAUUAAAGAUUUAUAAUUCAGUAAUUUCCUGGUUGUCUAAUUUAACUUUUUCGAACAAUAAUUACAUAUCGCACGUUUCUUUUUAUUUGAUUGCUUUUCUACUAAAUUAUAUUAAAAGGAACUACAGAAGGAGACUGAUAACAUUUAUAUUAUAAUUUGUGUGAUACAACGAAUGCAUACGUGUCAGUUCAACGUCGUCAUUGGUUUUCAUAGGAAAAAGUGAGCAUUUAUUAACCAAAAGUUUUAUAAUUUGAUGAUAUGUAAGAUGCAUCGUGAUUGGUUAUAAAAAGAAAUUUUGAAAAGUAGCGCUGGAAAAGAUCUCAUGAUUGAUGUACUAAAUGAAUUUCAAAAAAUGAUAUACGUAAGAAAACAUUAUCCAGAAUAUCGAUAAAAUCACUAGUCAUAGCUAAGUCGCCAAGGAUUAUGCAAAAGCUGACUGAGCGCAAGUAUUUACAAAAAAUUAUUAUGUCAGAAACGGUAUUAUGUGUUUUACUGAAAGUGUCAAGCGAGAGCGAGAGCGGAUAUCUUGUCAAACUAUUCGGAUUCAGACUUCACACGGGAUAUUUCAGUAUCCGAGGACAACGAUUAUCACAUUUUACAAAACAUCAAAUCUGACCGGAGACAUCCUGAUAGUGCGAGUGUGAGAAACAAAAUUGAUGAGAUUCCAUUUGCAAAUAUGUCCGUGAUCCCAAAAUCUAUUGACUCGAGGAAGGAUGAGUCGACGGAAGGGCGCAACAACUAUCUUUAAUUUUCCCGAAAUUAAACGUCUCGUGGCGUUUGGAAUCGGGUCGAACGAACUGACAGGUCUGAAAAGCAGGUAAACGACUGAGUCGCUGUUACGCUGGUUAUUCAGACAUUCGUUUGGUGGUCCCUUUUUGGUAAGACAAUUUAAUCUCUUUUACGCGGGAUGGGACCAAAUGCGAUCUUUCGACUAGAGGAAUGAGUGGGGGGUUUAAUAAAGAGUUACUUUGAUUUUUAAAUUAACAAAAUGUAAAUUUAUUAAUUUUAAAGUAAAUGGUGGAUAUACAUGAUUAUAUAAAAAAAAAAUUAAAAUAGAAAAAUUGUUGAUUAUAAUUUCUCGGUGAGUGUACAUGUGUAUGUGUGUGUUUUUGGUUCGCGGGUGUUACAUUAAUACGCGGAGGACAUCAGUCAGAAAUGGAAUAGAAUGAUUUACACUGUUAAAUUUAGAUUCUGACUGGUUAAUACAAUAUAAAAAUAUAUUUGAUUAAAGGAUAAAAACAUAAAAUCAAAAUCAAUAUGUAUAAGUAAAUAAGUGUAUAUGUUAAGAACGGUCAGAAAUAUAAAAUUAGUCACUCGCAUAUGUGUUAGAUUAAGAUCAGGAUUUAAAAAAAUUUUUCUAGGACUUAUUACCGAAACGGGUUAAUGAUUUAAAAGAAUGAAACAUUCUUCGAAAAGUUUUGAUUUAAAUAAGAAACAAGACAAAAAGGAGGAAAAGAAAAAUUAUUCAAUUAAACUUACUUUUUUCAAUAGUAAUUCAGAGGUGGAGGGGUGGCGAAUUUUUGUACGGUGUUUCGCUCUGUGUCUCAUGUCGGCAAUCCGAUGUUCGAUUCGUGGUUGCUCUGGAGAUGAUGCCAAGUGAGGACACUGGUGGCACAAGUGCCUAACUCGCGAAUUACGGUGCAAAAGCACAGAGUAAGACUGCGUGAAGCUGAAGACUGGAGAAUAAGUGCGUAAGUGAGUUCGAGUCCUCUUUUUAUAUUUCUCUUUUCGGGGUGUAUUCUAAUUUCUAAGAGUGGGAAUCUUCCAAAACUUUAACGAAUUAAAAGUUGUGCCAGUGUCCUCAUUAGGCGGGGUGUUUCUCCUACUUUUCAAAUUUUCACUCAUGACGAUCGUCGAUUGGUGAUCAGUUCAGAGUCCCUUGAGCUCUAGGUUUCUCUUACGCCCGUGAUUUGAUUUAGACAAAGUCCAAAUGUGACGUCACAAAAGUUUCGUCAUUAUUUAUUUAGUUGUAUUCAUCGGAUGUUUUGUGAGAAUUUUAUUAUCUUUUCGUUAUCAGCGUUUGAGAAUGCUACUGCGAGGGUAUCUACUGGUUCUUAUUUAUUUUUCGGCGACCGGCGCGGUUUCGUCGCGUCUUUCUCACGGUUACUCAUAGAUAUAGAUAUUGAUAAGUGACUAAAUG